This 482-nucleotide ribosomal RNA is filed under the name uncultured bacterium. RNAcentral describes it as "partial 16S ribosomal RNA". It matches the Rfam family "Bacterial small subunit ribosomal RNA", at positions 30 to 507 of the family's 1533-position model. The record is from RNAcentral.
AUUGAACGCUGGCGGCAUGCCUUACACAUGCAAGUCGAACGGUAACAGGUCUUCGGAUGCUGACGAGUGGCGAACGGGUGAGUAAUACAUCGGAACGUGCCCGAUCGUGGGGGAUAACGGAGCGAAAGCUUUGCUAAUACCGCAUACGAUCUACGGAUGAAAGCAGGGGACCGCAAGGCCUUGCGCGGACGGAGCGGCCGAUGGCAGAUUAGGUAGUUGGUGGGAUAAAAGCUUACCAAGCCGACGAUCUGUAGCUGGUCUGAGAGGACGACCAGCCACACUGGGACUGAGACACGGCCCAGACUCCUACGGGAGGCAGCAGUGGGGAAUUUUGGACAAUGGGCGAAAGCCUGAUCCAGCCAUGCCGCGUGCAGGAUGAAGGCCUUCGGGUUGUAAACUGCUUUUGCACGGAACGAAAAGACUCUUUCUAAUAAAGAGGGUCCAUGACGGUACCGUAAGAAUAAGCACCGGCUAACUACGUG